AGAGUUUGAUCAUGGCUCAGGGUAAACGCUGGCGGCGUGCCUAAAACAUGCAAGUCGCACGGGUCAUCCUUCGGGAUGGUCAGUGGCAGACGGCUGAGUAACGCGUGGGUGACGUACCUGUUGGUGGGGAAUAACUGCCCGAAAGGAUGGCUAAUUCCGCAUACGCCUGGUGCUGCAUUGGACCAGGGAAAGCCGCAAGG
This 200-nucleotide ribosomal RNA is filed under the name uncultured bacterium. Its description in RNAcentral is "partial 16S ribosomal RNA". It matches the Rfam family "Bacterial small subunit ribosomal RNA", at positions 8 to 214 of the family's 1533-position model. The record is from RNAcentral.